CUCUUCUUGUUUUUAUUAAAUAUGAGGUAUGACCUGCCCAAUGAAAAAUUUUAAUGGCCGCGGUAUUUUGACCGUGCAAAGGUAGCAUAAUCAUUAGUCUUUUAAUUGGAGGCUGGAAUGAAUGGUUGGACGAAAUAAAGUCUGUCUUUAUACAAUAUUUUUUGAAUUUAAUUAUUUGGUUAAAAAGCUAAAAUGAGGUUUAUGGGACGAGAAGACCCUAUAGAGUUUGUAUAUUUUCUUUUAUUUGUUAUGUUUGUAAAUAUUAUUUUUAUUUGAAAGUAUUUAGUUGGGGUGAUUGUAAGAUAAGUAAAACUCUUUCUAUCUUUUUAUAUUGAUUAAUAGUUUAUUGAUCCUUUUUUAUGAUUAAAAGACUAAAUUACC
Molecule: ribosomal RNA, 381 nt
Filed under: Eustegasta aff. carabidina MNHN BL125
Lineage: Eukaryota; Metazoa; Arthropoda; Insecta; Blattodea; Blaberidae
Description: partial 16S ribosomal RNA
Source: RNAcentral